UACGGAGGGGGCGAGUGUUGUUCGGAAUUACUGGGCGUAAAGGGCGCGCCGGCGGCUUGGCAAGUCGAGUGUGAAAUACCUCAGCUUAACUGAGGAACGGCGCUCGAAACUACCUCGCUUGAGGGCGGGAGAGGGAAGUGGAACUCUCGGUGUAGGGGUGAAAUCUGUAGAUAUCGAGAGGAACACCGGUGGCGAAGGCGGCUUCCUGGCCCGUACCUGACGCUGAGGCGCGAAAGCGUGGGGAGCAAACAGG
RNAcentral lists this ribosomal RNA (253 nucleotides) under uncultured bacterium. RNAcentral describes it as "partial 16S ribosomal RNA". It matches the Rfam family "Bacterial small subunit ribosomal RNA", at positions 524 to 776 of the family's 1533-position model. The record is from RNAcentral.